RNAcentral lists this ribosomal RNA (539 nucleotides) under uncultured bacterium. RNAcentral describes it as "bacterial SSU rRNA". It matches the Rfam family "Bacterial small subunit ribosomal RNA", at positions 355 to 896 of the family's 1533-position model. The record is from RNAcentral.
UAGGGAAUAUUCCACAAUGAGCGAAAGCUUGAUGGAGCGACACAGCGUGCACGAUGAAGGCCCUCGGGUUGUAAAGUGCUGUUGCAAGGGAAGAACAGUUAGUUGAGGAAAUGCUUCUAAUCUGACGGUACCUUGUUAGAAAGCGAUGGCUAACUAUGUGCCAGCAGCCGCGGUAAUACAUAGGUCGCAAGCGUUAUCCGGAAUUAUUGGGCGUAAAGCGUUCGUAGGCUGUUUAUUAAGUCUGGAGUCAAAUCCCAGGGCUCAACCCUGGCUCGCUUUGGAUACUGGUAAACUAGAGUUAGAUAGAGGUAAGCGGAAUUCCAUGUGGAGCGGUGAAAUGCGUAGAUAUAUGGAAGAACACCAAAGGCGAAGGCAGCUUACUGGGUCUAUACUGACGCUGAGGGACGAAAGCGUGGGGAGCAAACAGGAUUAGAUACCCUGGUAGUCCACGCUGUAAACGAUGAUCAUUAGUCGGUGGAACACUACUGACGCAGCUAACGCAUUAAAUGAUCCGCCUGAGUAGUAUGCUCGCAAGAGUG